Molecule: ribosomal RNA, 422 nt
Filed under: uncultured Edaphobaculum sp.
Lineage: Bacteria; Pseudomonadati; Bacteroidota; Chitinophagia; Chitinophagales; Chitinophagaceae
Description: bacterial SSU rRNA
Rfam family: Bacterial small subunit ribosomal RNA
Source: RNAcentral
UGAGGAAUAUUGGUCAAUGGACGAGAGUCUGAACCAGCCAUGCCGCGUGAAGGAUGAAGGCGUUCUGCGUUGUAAACUUCUUUUAUCUGGGAAGAAACCUUCUUUUUCUAAGGAAGCCGACGGUACCAGAGGAAUAAGCACCGGCUAACUCCGUGCCAGCAGCCGCGGUAAUACGGAGGGUGCAAGCGUUAUCCGGAUUUACUGGGUUUAAAGGGUGUGUAGGCGGACUUUUAAGUCAGCGGUGAAAUCUCCGGGCUCAACCCGGAAACUGCCAUUGAUACUAUUAGUCUUGAAUGUUGUUGAGGUGGGCGGAACGGGUCAUGUAGCGGUGAAAUGCAUAGAUAUGACCCGGAACACCGAUUGCGAAGGCAGCCCACUAAGCAACUAUUGACGCUGAGGCACGAAAGCGUGGGGAUCAAACA